AGGACAGGUAAGUUAUAGCUAUGUGGGCAGGACAGGUAAGUUAUAGCUAUGUGGGCAGGACAGGUAAGUUAUAGCUAUGUGGGCAGGAAACAGGUAAGUUAUAACUAUGUGGCAGGACAGGUAAGUUUAUAGCUAUGUGGGCAGGACAGGUAAGUUAUAGCUAUGUGGGCAGGACAGGUAAGUUAUAGCUAUGUGGGCAGGACAGGUAAGUUAUAGCUAUGUGGGCAGGACAGGUAAGUUAUAGCUAUGUGGGCAGGACAGGUAAGUUAUACUAUGUGGGCAGGACCAGGUAAGUUAUAGCUAUGUGGGCAGUACAGGUAAGUUAUAGCUAUGUGGGCAGGACAGGUAAGUUAUAGCUAUGUGGCAGGACAGGUAAGUUAUAGCUAUGUGGGCAGGACAGGUAAGUUAUAGCUAUGUGGGCAGGACAGGUAAGUAUAGCUAUGUGGGCAGGACAGGUAAGUUAUAGCUAUGUGGGCAGGACAGGUAAGUUAUAGCUAUGGUGGGCAGGACAGGUAAGUUAUAGCUAUGUGGGCAGGACAGGUAAGUUAAUAGACUAUGUGGGCAGGACAGGUAAGUUAUAGCUAUGUGGGCAGGACAGGUAAGUUAUAGCU
Molecule: non-coding RNA, 611 nt
Organism: Salvelinus sp. IW2-2015
Lineage: Eukaryota; Metazoa; Chordata; Actinopteri; Salmoniformes; Salmonidae
Source: RefSeq, a predicted model, not a curated record